Molecule: ribosomal RNA, 468 nt
Filed under: uncultured bacterium
Lineage: Bacteria
Description: partial 16S ribosomal RNA
Rfam family: Bacterial small subunit ribosomal RNA
Source: RNAcentral
GACGAACGCUGGCGGCGUGCUUAACACAUGCAAGUCGAACGGAAAGGCCCUGCUUUUGUGGGGUGCUCGAGUGGCGAACGGGUGAGUAACACGUGAGUAACCUGCCCUUGACUUUGGGAUAACUUCAGGAAACUGGGGCUAAUACCGGAUAGGAGCUCCUGCUGCAUGGUGGGGGUUGGAAAGUUUCGGCGGUUGGGGAUGGACUCGCGGCUUAUCAGCUUGUUGGUGGGGUAGUGGCUUACCAAGGCGUUGACGGGUAGCCGGCCUGAGAGGGUGACCGGCCACAGUGGGACUGAGAUACGGCCCAUACUCAUACGGGAGGCAGCAGUGGGGAAUAGUGCACAAUGGGCGGAAGCCUGAUGCAGCAACGCCGCGUGCGGGAUGACUGCCUUCGGGUUGUAAACCGCUUUGGCCUGUGACGAAGCGUGAGUGACGGUAAUGGGUAAAGAAGCACCGGCUAACUACGUG